ACGCAGCAACGCCGCGUGGAUGAUGAAGCUUUUCGGAGUGUAAAAUCCUUUCAGCAGGGAAGAAUAUCUUGACGGUACCUGCAGAAGAAGUCCCGGCCAACUCCGUGCCAGCAGCCGCGGUAACACGGGGGGGACAAGCGUUGUUCGGAUUCACUGGGCGUGAAGCGCUCGUAGGUGGGCUGGAUAGUCGGAUGUGAAAUCCUGAGGCUUAACUUCAGGCCUGCAUCCGAAACUGCCAGUCUUGAGUACUGGAGAGGGUGGCGGAAUUCCUGGUGUAGCGGUGAAAUGCGUAGAUAUCAGGAGGAACACCGAUGGCGAAGGCAGCCACCUGGACAGAUACUGACACUGAGGGGCGAAGGCUAGGGUAGCAAACAGGAUUAGAUACCCUGGUAGUCCUAGCGGUAAACGAUGGGCACUAGGUGUUGGCGGUAUCGACCCCGCCAGUGCCGCAGCAAACGCAUUAAGUGCCCCGCCUGGGGAGUACGGUCGCAAGAUUGAAACUCAAAGGAAUUGACGGGGGCCCGCACAAGCGGUGGAGUAUGUGGUUCAAUUCGACGCAACGCGCAGAACCUUACCUGGGCUUGACAUAUACCGGAAAGCCACAGAGAUGUGGUUCCUCCUUCGGGAGUCGGUAUACAGGUGCUGCAUGGCUGUCGUCAGCUCGUGUCGUGAGAUGUUGGGUUAAGUCCCGCAACGAGCGCAACCCUCGUUCUUAGUUGCCAUCAGGUUAUGCUGGGGACUCUAAAAAGACUGCCGGUGACAAGCCGGAGGAAGGUGGGGAUGACGUCAAGUCCUCAUGGCCCUUACGCCCAGGGCUACACACGUACUACAAUGGCCGGUAUAGACGGCAGCAAUACCGCAAGGUGGAGCUAAUCCCUAAAACCGGCCUCAGUUCAGAUUGGAGUCUGCAACUCGACUCCAUGAAGG
This 927-nucleotide ribosomal RNA is filed under the name uncultured candidate division GN04 bacterium. RNAcentral's name for it is "bacterial SSU rRNA". It matches the Rfam family "Bacterial small subunit ribosomal RNA", at positions 386 to 1326 of the family's 1533-position model. The record is from RNAcentral.